RNA transcript from Brassica oleracea var. oleracea, 1524 nucleotides. It is a transcript of the gene named anaphase-promoting complex subunit 2-like, with no coding region annotated. The transcript has 5 exons. The record is from RefSeq and is a predicted model, not a curated record. NCBI's taxonomy places the organism in Eukaryota, Viridiplantae, Streptophyta, Magnoliopsida, Brassicales, Brassicaceae.
UCAUCGCGUCUCUUUCUCUCUCUCUCUCUCGAUGGAAUCAUUAUGUGUAUCUCUUGCUCUCCUCGACAGACCGGAAAAGGAGAGACAGGAAGAAUCAAACCUCUGAAUCUCUCAGAAGACGGAAGAGAACGAUGAAGAAGCAGACGAUUUACUCAUGUGGAGCAACGAUUGUUAUCUUCCUCGUCUGAUGAUCAUCACUCCCAGCAUCCCUCAGUCUCAAGCCUAUCAUGAUUUCGCCGAUCAACGAUCCUUCUUCGGAUUGAUGAACACAAGGGAAAUUACAGAAAGCUAUGAUGGGUUUUUCACCACCGUGGAGUCCCUCAUUGACGGCACCGGAGACUUCUCAGUCGAGAAGGAGUUCAUGUCUCAUGUUUCUACUCUCUGCAAGUACGGCCUUGAUUCUCUUGUUCAUGACCACUUUCUCAUAUCACUCCUGCAAGCUUUUGAGAAGAGCGGUGCAUUGAGUUUUUCGCAUCAUUUUGAUGAUUGCAGCGAUAAGAACCAUACUAUAAGAUUACGAAGAAGAGAUUCACCAAGUGUUGUGCAAGGCUUUGGAAGAAAUUUCUAUAGAGAAGCAGAACCAUGACAAGCGUAUGUCCAUGGAAACACUCGCCUUUACGUUGGUAGCUUGUCAUCUAGAACUCGUACCAGAGACCUUGAGCGUCUUUUCAGCAGAUACGGAAGCUGGGAAUCUUCUGUUUCAGUUGGCCUAUUUGUGAUUGCUUGAUUGCUUUCCACUCCUCUGGAUAUUCUCUUGAGAAAGUUCAAGCAUAUUAUUCAGUUGCGUAAAGGAUAAGUCUUGAGUCUGUUCAUGUUAAAGUAUGCAACUUUGGUUUAAGAUCCUAUAUGGUUUGGGAAUAUAGUAAUCUUUAGUGCAGUGGCUGAUUAUCCUUAGUAAAAUAUAAUGAGUGAUCACAUGAUUUGUACUUGUAUUUGAAUCUAGCAUUGAAGCCUUAAUGAGUGAAUCAGAUGAUUAUCCUUAAUAAAUUUUUUAAGAACCCUUAAUUAAGAGACUAGCACUGAAGCACAAAAACUAUAUGUUUCUUAACUAAAGUUCUUAACUAUUAUUUAUUAUUAAAAAAAUCACUAAGAAACCAUAAUGAGGUUGUAUGGUUAAUCAUGCUUUAAAGCUCUUGUCGCAAUUGUAAAUAUAAUUCAAUAGAAAGGUGAUUUUUACACAGCCUAAAGUGAAUAUUUAUACUAACGAUAGAAGAUCGUAUAUAAUCAAUAUUCUUAUUCUCCUAAGUCCUAAGUACAAGGAUUAAUAAUUAUCCUAAAGAAUAAUAAAAGAAAAUCCAACUAAUAAAUAAAAUAGGAAACACGUAAAACAUUUUUACGAAGUCAUAACCUACGCUGCAUCAUAUAUUAAUUUUCGUACUUGAUAAAUUGUUAGUGUGAUAGAUAUACGAGGAUCCCAGGCAUCACUAAUUUACCAGUUCCUAAAUUUUAUCGAGUUUUCAAGUAUAGAGAAGAGAAGCAUGGGUUGUUCGUUAGUUUAAUGGUAAUUAAUAUUUAGAAACUGAA